Molecule: long non-coding RNA, 520 nt
Organism: Pungitius pungitius (ninespine stickleback)
Lineage: Eukaryota; Metazoa; Chordata; Actinopteri; Perciformes; Gasterosteidae
Exons: 2
Source: RefSeq, a predicted model, not a curated record
UGUUUUUUUUAAGACAUUUAGUUCAUAGGGUAAAGGUCACACAGGUGGAGUGGUUGUACCCUGGAAUAUCAGCAGAUGGUGGUGUGCGGGUGACUGUUCAACCUGUAAAAUACAGUCAAUACUAUCAAGUAUUGCACUGUACCAGAGAAUGUCUGGAACGUAAAAUGUUGAGAUAUCGACUCACAAAAGACAUGGGACAAAGCCAGUACCCCGCCCCACAGUCUAUGCUCGUGCACACGUCUCGCAAGUCCAAGGAGACCAUCGAGCUGAAAUUCAUCGACACCACAUCCAAGUUUGGCCAUGGCCGCUUCCAGACUGCCCAGGAGAAGAGGGCAUUCAUGGGGCCGCUGAAGAAGGAUGGCAUUAAGAAAGUGACAGAGCCUCUGGCAGAGGAGGCCUGAAAGAAAUUCUCAAUUCUGACACAGCAAUAAAACCCAGAAACAAAAACAGUUUGUACACAGUACACAACCAGUACACUGUGUGUGAUUGUGUCAUGUAAAUUAAAAUUGUUGUUACCGAA